ACAGCACAGCACAGCGCAGGGCCCCGCGAGGUGCGGAGAGGCCCCGAGCUCGGCCACAUCCCUAUGGAGAACUCAGAGCAGUCGGUCGGGAAAAGAAACAAAGCACAGCGCGGAGCGGAACGCUUCCCCCGGCGUUUAGAGCCGUUUGGUGAACAUUCCGUUCGGCACAACGGCGUUCGUUUCGUUCCCUCCAACCCGUGCCGCGCACCACCGCGCAGUUCGUGCUCGCUGCCGGAGUGCGCUGUGCGGGGUUCUGCGGAGGAGGUACAGAGCCGUCCUCCGGGAGCCGCCGUCGGGGCCGAUCCCGCAGCCCCGGGCCCAGCGCCGCGGGAAUCCCGCACGGAGCGGAGGGCACUGGGCCGGGCCGGGCACUGGGCCGGGGUCACUGUCGUUCUGCAGUGCUGUGCCACAGCGUGCUACAACAGCCAGGUACUCCCCCAGCUGCUCGAUGCUCCGUCCCGCACUGACUCCCCCGUAACCCGCACCAUGUGCUCAAUGCCGUUGGCACGAAGCAGUUCUGCUCGGAUUUUCUGUAUUCCCCGCGUCCUGUCAAUUUAAAACGACGCUCUAAAACCCGUGAGAGGGCUUUGGGGAACCCCCCCUCCUUUCCCCUGCGGGGUCCCGAGCGCCCCCGCCCGUUUUCGUGCCGGUUCCUAAAGGCCGGGGCGGAGGAGGCCCCGGGUGUCACGGCGAUAAAUAACGGGACGGGUAAUUGGGAGCGAAGUGCGGAGAAUUUGGGCCACACUCGAGCGAGCGGACACCGCCAUACCGCAGCGUUAAACACCGUCACUCCGACAGCUGUGCUCCCGCAGCCCCUCCCGCCGAGCACCGCGAUUGAUUUAAAAUAAAACAAAACUCGGACAUACGGCAAAGAUGUAUCCCUCCCUCCCCCACCUCUGGGCACAGCACCGACCCGAGCGCACAGAACCGCUUCCGACAAUUCGCGGCCCCGCAGACGCCGACACGGCCGACGGUCGGAGCCGCAGCGGUGCGGAUCGGUGCGGUCGAUGCGGUGCUCCGCUGCGGGGCGGUGACGCUGCUCUGCGGGAAGGAAGGGGGCUUUCAACCUCAGGCUGCACCCUCGGAUAAUGGUUUAAAAUCGUUGCAAUGCGAAUCCCACCGCUCAAAGUAAAGCGCUCGGUGUAUGUAUAUAAAUAUAUAUAUAACUAUUUUCAAUCGUGACUCUUAAAAUGACGGAAAUCGUUUAAUUGACAGAACCCCCAAAUCCGAGCGCUUGAUUUCGCACCUCCUGCCCGGCUCUGCGCCGGGGGAAUGCGAUCCUUCGCUGUUUCCCAGCCAGCUCCAUCCCGAGCGGACGCGCUGGGCACUGCGUGCCGUUCGGCAGGGCUGGGGUGAACGAACGCAGCUCCUAAUUACAAGCACUUCGUUUUCCAUCUAUUGGAAGGGAAGCUCCGGGAUCUUCUUAAAAAGAAAACGCUCCGCAUUUAACGGGUGUUCGUGUUGUUUUCCCCAGGCAAAGAGUUUAUCAUACCGUUAGAAAUGCAGGGUAUUCCUAAAGCCACCUCACUGUUCGCAAUUUGUUUCUAUUCUUUAACCAAAACGUUCGCAUUUGUUUCGGGACUCAUCGACCUCUCCCAGGGCGCACUUCACAGCCCUCCGCCGCUCACUGUCACACCGCGGCUGUGCCGAGGGCUGCGGGAGGAAUGGAGUCCUCGCGGUUCCGCAUCGCUCCCGGAGCUGCGGGCGGUUUAUUCCCGUUCUGAAGGGAAGGAGAGUUUUGUCGAUUUUCCCACCUUUCCUCCGUUAAGAUCCCAACGCAUUUCCCUGCGAGGAGCGACCGUAACGCGAAAAAUAACCAAAGAGAAACUCUCUCCCAUUGGGGUACUUCAGAAAACGCCCUGAGUGCAACGGGGAAAGCGAUUUUGUGCAGAAAGGGCGACAAGUAGGUAUGGAUUAGAUAGAAUUAUAUAGAUACAGAUAGAUAGAUAUAGAGAUAUAUAUAGAGAGAUUAGAGAUAUAUAGAUACAGAUGCAGAUAUAGAUAUAGAUGUAGAUAUGGAUAUAGAGGCAUAGAGAUAUAGAGAUGGAUAUGGAUAUGGAUUGACCCCACCGUCCCGCUCCGCCCCCGCACAGCCCCGCACCACCGGCCCCGUCCCCACGGCCUCGGGGCGGCCUCGGAGCGCUGCGGGCCCCGGCGCUGCCUUCUGCUGGCACUCGGCGUCCAGGAAAUCCGCAAAGCGGCGGGACGAGUGGAAGCCGUGACAUCACUCGGGGCAGGAGGCUUCGGGCAGAAGGUGCGGAGCUCUGCGUUCCCGCACCGAGACACGUCCGCGUCCCGCCGCCCCCGGACCUCGUUCCCUCCAAACCCUACAAACGGACGGAAAUCAUCCCCAUAGCCGCCGCUGUCCGAAGAGAUCGGUGCCUGGACCGGGAGCUGCCCUCCGUGCGGCAGCCGUGCUGCGGAACGCCAGAAGUGUACGCACAGUGAGUAGGACGCGCUGCGAUAAAACGGCGAGUCCCUCUCUUUUCUAUUUCUUUCUUUUUCUUUUUUUUUUUUUUUUUUGCCUUUUUAAAUAGUAACUAUAAAAGCGCGGAGUUCUGUUUUUUUUUUCCUGUUGUUUUCCUUUGUUUUGUGUUUUUUGUUUGUUUGUUUUUGUUUUAGUUUUCCUUCUCCCUCCUUCGCAGAGGAGGGGAGCAAUGCUCUGAAGAACAAACCCGCCGCGAGCGCCGGCGGAGGCAGCGUUGAGGCUGAGGCAGCGCUUCCAGGCACUGCCCCCUCCGCGCACCGACCUCCGUGCUGACACGGGGCUCCGCGGGCUCAGCUCGUUCAGCUGUCCCAGUCAGCGUCACGGCUUUCAGAGGGCCGCGGUUACGCUUUCCCUUGCUGACGGUGCAUGCAGAACUAUCUUUCUCCCUUCUCCACCUGGACCUGCUAUCAAACCCGAGAAAAACCAGCCAAGCAAAAGAAAUAGCGGAGUCAUCUGCAUCGCUCGGGGCAGCCUCCUGCACUGCCCUACCCAGGGGUCUCGCAGAGGAGCAGUUCUGGGGCACUAUCCGUGCCAAUGUGGUCACGGUGCUGACAUAGUGCUGGUACAGCCUUUAGCAGCCAGCUCUCCACCUGCCACAAAUGAAAUCAAUGCGUGGCUUUGAUGCACAGCUCCUACACGGGGAAAUGCUCCGAGCCCGUCGGUGAUGUGAUGGGGAGCACGAGCAGAAAUCCCUCAGUGUGGGGCUUAGGGAUGGCUGUGCUACACUUUCAGCCACAGCCAAACCCUGCACAUCACUGCCACAGCCAUGUAUAGGCACGGAGCCACAUGCAGAGCUGCAGGCAGUGAGUGCUCUCUGCCAUGGCCGGGCACAAACACACUGUGAGACAAAGGUGGGUGCACCACGUCGGUAAUUACAGCCUGUCUAAAACCACAGCCAUGGCUGUACCACCUAUUUCUAGACACUAAACAAGCCCCAGACAGAAAGCAAGGGAUUGUCCUUAUUGCGCUGGUGUUCAAUCCAAGCAAGCCCCACAUCUGCAGCCCAAUUAGAGAUGUGCUCCCUGAUAUCACAUCAUCCCCUAUGCUGUGAACAGGCAACGUGUGCUCAGGCUGCUCGCUGUGUGCCCCGUUCACUGCCUGGAAUAGGACAGUUUACAGCUCACAAAAUUAAGUUAAUGAUUAUAUCUGUGCAGAGCGGGGCCUCCAGUUUUUAACAGCAAAAUGAAGGAACAGAUCAAACCCCACAUUCCGUGGGUUUGCAGCAGUGUUGGUCUGCAGGUUCCAGCUCUCGGCUGCCGUCACACCUGGCUGUGUGUUUAUGGAGCAGCAGGGAGGUGCUGCAGGCAUUUAACACAAUAAUGGCUAAUUGAAACUUUUUAUUUCUAAAAUAACACUAUGUUUUAUAUAUAUUAAAAUCAUAUUAAAGCUGACUUGCCAGACUCUCCCGAGCGCCACUACAGCCAGUUAAAAACCCUGUUAAGAGCCAAUUAAAUAACGAAGCUUUCUAUAACAGGCGCAUGAUAUAAAACAAUUAAGUGGUGGAGGCUUUUUUCUGAUAGUUUAUUUCUCUGCCUUUGCAUUUCUGUGCAGAUCUUAUUUUAAAGUGUGGUACAGACCCACCAAAGUGCCCUCCCAGCAGAGCACUCCCAUGGAACCAAAUAGGCUGGAGCUGGAGGUGCUGCAGAGCGCACCCACUGAGCACUAAAGAAAAUCACACUAAUAAGAAAUGCUUAAAGAAAAGUUCCCAGACCGAACACCCAGGUGUCUGAAGUCCCACAGAUGGUCCCUGCAGGGUGGGCUCGGUGGUGCCAAGCUGGGCACCAAGCAGUGUGCCUGAUGUCCACGGCCCCAGGCAGCCUCUGUGGCCACCACCAGCCCAGGGCACGGCCAGCAGCUAUGGGGAGCUUCACCAGCAGAAGGCAAUGGGAACUGGGGAUCCCAGGCACAGCGCACGCAGAAGGUGAGGGUGAUUUACCACUUUGGGAUGGAAUAAUGUUUUUGGAAUAAAAUUAUGCUGCAUGGAUUAGGA
Molecule: long non-coding RNA, 4478 nt
Organism: Gallus gallus (chicken)
Lineage: Eukaryota; Metazoa; Chordata; Aves; Galliformes; Phasianidae
Exons: 2
Source: RefSeq, a predicted model, not a curated record